GAUGAACGCUGGCGGCGUGCCUAAUACAUGCAAGUCGAGCGAACGGACGAGAAGCUUGCUUUUCUGAUGUUAGCGGCGGACGGGUGAGUAACACGUGUAUAACCUACCUAUAAGACUGGGAUCACUUCGGGAAACCGGCGCUAAUACCGGAUAAUAUUUUGAACCGCAUGGUUCAAAAGUGAAUGACGGUCUUUCUGUCACUUCUAGAUGGAUCCGCGCUGCAUUAGCUAGUUGGUAAGGUAACGGCUUACCAAGGCAACGAUGCAUAGCCGACCGGAGAGGGUGGUCGGCCACACUGGAACUGGGACGCGGUCCAGGCUCCUACGGGAGGCAGCAGUAGGGAAUCUUCCGCAGUGGGCGAAAGCCUGACGGAGCAACGCCGCGUGAGUGGUGAAGGUCUUCGGAUCGUAAAACUCUGUUAUUAGGGAAGAACAUAUGUGUAAGUAACUGUGCACAUCUUGACGGUACCUAAUCAGAAAGCCACGGCUAACUACGUG
This 497-nucleotide ribosomal RNA is filed under the name uncultured bacterium. RNAcentral's name for it is "partial 16S ribosomal RNA". It matches the Rfam family "Bacterial small subunit ribosomal RNA", at positions 28 to 507 of the family's 1533-position model. The record is from RNAcentral.